GACGAACGCUGGCGGCGUGCUUAACACAUGCAAGUCGAACGGAAAGGCCCUGCUUUUGUGGGGUGCUCGAGUGGCGAACGGGUGAGUAACACGUGAGUAACCUGCCCUUGACUUUGGGAUAACUUCAGGAAACUGGGGCUAAUACCGGAUAGGAGCUCCUGCUGCAUGGUGGGGGUUGGAAAGUUUCGGCGGUUGGGGAUGGACUCGCGGCUUAUCAGCUUGUUGGUGGGGUAGUGGCUUACCAAGGCUUUGACGGGUAGCCGGCCUGAGAGGGUGACCGGCCACAUUGGGACUGAGAUACGGCCCAGACUCCUACGGGAGGCAGGAGUGGGGAAUAUUGCACAAUGGGCGGAAGCCGGAUGCAGCAACGCCGCGUGCGGGAUGACGGCCUUCGGGUUGUAAACCGCUUUCGCCUGUGACGAAGCGUGAGUGACGGUAAUGGGUAAAGAAGCACCGGCAAACUACGG
This 467-nucleotide ribosomal RNA is filed under the name uncultured bacterium. RNAcentral describes it as "partial 16S ribosomal RNA". It matches the Rfam family "Bacterial small subunit ribosomal RNA", at positions 28 to 506 of the family's 1533-position model. The record is from RNAcentral.